RNAcentral lists this unclassified non-coding RNA (191 nucleotides) under fungal sp. RNAcentral describes it as "partial internal transcribed spacer region". The stretch from base 1 to 46 matches the Rfam family "Eukaryotic small subunit ribosomal RNA", at positions 1786 to 1831 of the family's 1831-position model. Lineage: Eukaryota; Fungi. The record is from RNAcentral.
AAGUCGUAACAAGGUUUCCGUAGGUGAACCUGCGGAAGGAUCAUUAAUGUUGUUUAUUCUUCUAUGUUGUUUGAAUGUCUGAUGUUGUGGGGAUAUUUUUAUCCCCGCGCUAGUCAACGUGAUCUUUAUUCUAGUCUGACUUUUAUGUAAAUAAUAAAAGACAACUUUUAGCAACGGAUCUCUUGGCUCUC